RNAcentral lists this ribosomal RNA (393 nucleotides) under uncultured bacterium. RNAcentral describes it as "partial 16S ribosomal RNA". It matches the Rfam family "Bacterial small subunit ribosomal RNA", at positions 523 to 918 of the family's 1533-position model. The record is from RNAcentral.
AUACGGAGGAUCCGAGCGUUAUCCGGAUUUAUUGGGUUUAAAGGGAGCGUAGGUGGACAGUUAAGUCAGUUGUGAAAGUUUGGGGCUCAACCUUAAAAUUGCAGUUGAUACUGGUUUCCUUGAGUACGGUAUAGGUGGGCGGAAUUCGUGGUGUAGCGGUGAAAUGCUUAGAUAUCACGAAGAACUCCGAUCGCGAAGGCAGCUCACCGGGCCGGAACUGACACUGAUGCUCGAAAGUGCGGGUAUCAAACAGGAUUAGAUACCCUGGUAGUCCGCACAGUAAACGAUGAAUACUCGCUGUUUGCGAUACACUGUAAGCGGCCAAGCGAAAGCGUUAAGUAUUCCACCUGGGGAGUACGCCGGCAACGGUGAAACUCAAAUGAAUUGGCGGGG